AUAAAUUGAGUAGUUUAUACAUGUUGGACUUGGAAUUUGAAUUAGAAGAAAACCUGCGAUUUGGACAUGUCACUUGUUUAAACUGCCUGAUUUAGCUCUAGGAGCCGUUAUAAAAUUGUACUGUCGCAGUAUCCUCGAGACGAGCACUCCAGAUAGUUUAGAAUACAUUACGCUCGUGCUGGUACGCCGAGUGGAUUUUUACAGGAUCGUUUGGGCUAUUUUGGACUGUUGGGUGCCGUCAGAGUUGACGGUGGACCCGGAUCGCCUUUUUGGCGACAGAUUGUGCCGAGGGCACGUGAACUGUUGGUUAUUAGACUAGUUAGAGUCGGUUACUUGACUUUGGCUUUUCAGAGCCUGUUUGAGCUCGACAGAGAUACGCCGCAUACUCAGUUGGGUAACGCCCACGAGUGCUACUCCGGAGACGGCUUUGUGCUUUCGCGUUGGUGUCGCUCAUGCCGGUUGGACUUGCUUUCCACGGACCAGUUAGUGUGGAGGUAGCUGGAUAGUCGCAACUGGGCAGGGACGGGUGUAUUCACAGUCCCAGGGACGGGUAGGCUUACAGUCCCGAUUGGAUUGGGUCAGAUUUGACAUUUCCUACAGUUGGUUAGUGUAGAGCAUGAUAGUGUAGUGAUUGAUAGCG
This 640-nucleotide long non-coding RNA is filed under the name Ananas comosus (pineapple). RNAcentral describes it as "long non-coding RNA (ACOM_LNC039642)". The record is from RNAcentral. Lineage: Eukaryota; Viridiplantae; Streptophyta; Magnoliopsida; Poales; Bromeliaceae.